UGCGCGGUAGUUUCAGGAAGAGGAGACUCGACUUGAAGGUCGGGGAUAUUUUGGGGAGAAUGGAUUAAUCUCUGUUUUUCACGGGAUAACUCUGGCAAUGUUUUACCUAUUUUACUUUGAAAAAAUUAGAGUGUUCAAAGCAAGGCGUUUUUGCCUAUUGAAUAUUGCAGCAUGGGAUAAUAGAAAAAGAUAGUCCGUCUUAUUUUGUUGGUUUUUUAAGAUGACAAUAAUGAUAGAAGGGGAUGGUUGGGGCGGUCUGUAUUGCCACGUCAGAGGUGAAAUUCUUAGAUUGUGGCAAGACAAACAACUGCGAAAGCAUUCCGCUAGGACAUAUUCAUCAAUCAAGAACGAAAGUUGGGGGAUCGAAGACGAUCAGAUACCGUCGUAGUCUCAACCAUAAACAAUGCCGACCAAGGAUUGGAGAUUGUUAAAUUUUAAUGACUUCCCCAGCACUUUGCGAGAAAUCACAAGUCUUUGGGUUCCGGGGGGAGUAUGGUCGCAAGGCUGAAACUUAAAGGAAUUGACGGAAGGGCACCACCAGGCGUGGAACUUGCGGCUUAAUUUGACCCAACACGGGAAAACUUACCAGGUCCAGACAGCGUUAGGAUUGACAGAUUGAGAGCUCUUUCAUGAUUCGUUGGGUGGUGGUGCAUGGCCGUUCUUAGUUGGUGGUGUGAAUUGUCUGGUUGAUUCCAUUAACGAACGAGACCUUGACUUACUAAAUAGCAGCUGGAAGAUAUUGCAUUAAGGCUAUGGAUCGGUAUUUUCGGAAGGGUCAGUCCCCCGGAGAUAGUUGUUUCCAUGGUUGCUUUUUUUCCAGAAAGCUUCUUAGAGGGACUAUUAGUGACAAGCUAAUGGAAGUUCGAGGCAAAAACAGGUCUGUGAUGCCCUUCGAUGUUCUGGGCCGCACGCGUGUUACACUGAUAAAGUCAACGAGUUUAGAACCUUCUCUGAGAGGAGUGGGUAAUCUUUUCAAACUUUAUCGUGAUGGGGAUAGAUGAUUGCAAUUAUUCAUCUUCAACGAGGAAUGCCUAGUAAGCGCGAUUCAUCAUAUCGCGUUGACUGCGUCCCUGCCCUUUGUACACACCGCCCGUCGCUCCUACCGAUUGAAUGCUCCGGUGAAAUCUUCGGAUUGUGAGAAGCUAACUUUUGCUGACUUUGUCGGCAAAGACUCUUGUAAAAAGUUGAUUAAAUCUUAGCAUUU
This 1204-nucleotide ribosomal RNA is filed under the name metagenome. RNAcentral describes it as "SSU rRNA". It matches the Rfam family "Eukaryotic small subunit ribosomal RNA", at positions 641 to 1774 of the family's 1831-position model. The record is from RNAcentral.